RNAcentral lists this long non-coding RNA (628 nucleotides) under Pongo abelii (Sumatran orangutan). Its description in RNAcentral is "lincRNA". The record is from RNAcentral. Lineage: Eukaryota; Metazoa; Chordata; Mammalia; Primates; Hominidae.
AAGAGGGACUCAGAUCACUUGGAAUUAUGACAAUGUAUUGCAGGGAUACCUUUGAAAAUGGGGUGUCACAAGAAGCUGAACUUUGCAUCCCAGUUCUGAAACAUACAGCAACCUCAGGGAGACAGAUGCAUCACUAGGCAUUUUGGGGUGGUAGCAAGUUCAGUGACCUGCCAGAUUUCUUAGCAUUAACUUGAAAGAGAAGACACUUAUUUUAUUUGAUUUGAUUUCUACUAGUCAAAUGGGCACCUGGAUUAAGCAGACUCUCCCCCAGGCACCCUAGAGGCCUCUGACAUCCCUUAUGUCCAGCCCAGACACGGCCUUUCUGUGGCCUCAGCAUAUCUGCCCAGUCCAAUCGGCUAUAGCCAGAAGAAAAAGGGAGGAAGAUCCAAGAGAGGGAAGGAGACUUUCCCAGGAAGCAGCAGCCUGCUACUUUCCUGCUAACCAGGGCAGACACUGGUCUGCAUCCCCCUAUCCAGGUGGCCCCUGCAGUCACGGCUUUUCUGCUUCUAGAAGCCAUCCCUGAGAACAUCAUGGCAGAACUCGAAACACAUUGCAUCAUACAAAAUGAAGUGGAGAAUUAAGGUAAUUAUCCAGUUAUUAAAAACCAUUUCUUAUUUGAAUAGCUAAA